This is a long non-coding RNA of Humulus lupulus (European hop), 339 nucleotides long. RefSeq lists it as uncharacterized. Lineage: Eukaryota; Viridiplantae; Streptophyta; Magnoliopsida; Rosales; Cannabaceae. The transcript has 2 exons. The record is from RefSeq and is a predicted model, not a curated record.
GUUUCUGCCAGUUUAGUCAUGGUGCAUUUGAUUGAGAAAUUAGCUGCUGGUGAUACUGGAAGUUUAUUUGUAUCAAUACUUCAGAAGAUGAGCACCAUGUCUAAAAAGGUAUAUUGAGAUGAUUUCUUUGGAGCAAUUCUUGACAACAUUUGUAGUUGAGGCCUUUAGAAUGGAAGAAUGUAUUUCACUAAUUUUUGUAUACAUUUCUUGUUUUGUAUUUAGUGAUAAGGGAAUCUGAAUUGGACAUAAAUUAUGUUGUAAUAUGAUUUCUUAAGCCUAGACUAGUAGACUAAAUAUUGUAAUUACAUUUGAGUAAUUAAUAAAAAUCUAUUUAUGUUA